RNAcentral lists this ribosomal RNA (468 nucleotides) under uncultured bacterium. Its description in RNAcentral is "partial 16S ribosomal RNA". It matches the Rfam family "Bacterial small subunit ribosomal RNA", at positions 28 to 507 of the family's 1533-position model. The record is from RNAcentral.
GACGAACGCUGGCGGCGUGCUUAACACAUGCAAGUCGAACGGAAAGGCCCUGCUUUUGUGGGGUGCUCGAGUGGCGAACGGGUGAGUAACACGUGAGUAACCUGCCCUUUACUUUGGGAUAACUUCAGGAAACUGGGGCUAAUACCGGAUAGGAGCUCCUGCUGCAUGGUGGGGGUUGGAAAGUUUCGGCGGUUGGGGAUGGACUCGCGGCUUAUCAGCUUGUUGGUGGGGUAGUGGCUUACCAAGGCUUUGACGGGUAGCCGGCCUGAGAGGGUGACCGGCCAAAUUGGGACUGAGAUACGGCCCAGACUCCUACGGGAGGCAGCAGUGGGGAAUAUUGCACAAUGGGCGGAAGCCUGAUGCAGCAACGCCGCGUGCGGGAUGACGGCCUUCGGGUUGUAAACCGCUUUCGCCUGUGACGAAGCGUGAGUGACGGUAAUGGGUAAAGAAGCACCGGCUAACUACGUG